GGCUCGGUAGCUCAGUUGGUAGAGCGGGGGAUUGAAAAUCCCUGUGUCGGCGGUUCGAUCCCGUCCCGAGCCA
RNAcentral lists this transfer RNA (73 nucleotides) under bacterium. Its description in RNAcentral is "tRNA-Phe". It matches the Rfam family "tRNA". Rfam says of the family: Transfer RNA (tRNA) molecules are approximately 80 nucleotides in length. Their secondary structure includes four short double-helical elements and three loops (D, anti-codon, and T loops). The record is from RNAcentral. RNAcentral also lists the same sequence under 2 other names.